This 253-nucleotide ribosomal RNA is filed under the name uncultured bacterium. Its description in RNAcentral is "partial 16S ribosomal RNA". It matches the Rfam family "Bacterial small subunit ribosomal RNA", at positions 524 to 776 of the family's 1533-position model. The record is from RNAcentral.
UACGUAGGGUGCGAGCGUUGUCCGGAAUUAUUGGGCGUAAAGAGCUCGUAGGCGGUUUGUCGCGUCUGCUGUGAAAACCUAAGGCUCAACCUUGGGCUUGCAGUGGGUACGGGCAGACUAGAGUGCGGUAGGGGUGACUGGAAUUCCUGGUGUAGCGGUGGAAUGCGCAGAUAUCAGGAGGAACACCGGUGGCGAAGGCGGAUCUCUGGGCCUUACCUGACGCUCAGGUGCGAAAGCUAGGGGAGCAAACGGG